CACGUAGGGGCCGAGCGUUGUCCGGAUUCAUUGGGCGUAAAGAGCUCGUAGGCGGUUCAGUCAGUCGGGUGUGAAAUCUCCGGGCUCAACCCGGAGGGGCCACCCGAUACUGCUGUGACUCGAGUCCGGUAGGGGAGUGGGGAAUUCCUGGUGUAGCGGUGAAAUGCGCAGAUAUCAGGAGGAACACCGGUGGCGAAGGCGCCACUCUGGGCCGGUACUGACGCUGAGGAGCGAAAGCGUGGGUAGCAAACAGGAUUAGAAACCCCCGUAGUCC
Molecule: ribosomal RNA, 274 nt
Filed under: uncultured bacterium
Lineage: Bacteria
Description: partial 16S ribosomal RNA
Rfam family: Bacterial small subunit ribosomal RNA
Source: RNAcentral